UUAAUUCCCGCACGGAGCCCACCCCUUUCCCUUGGUUCCCACCGGUAAGGCCGGGAACUCAAAGGAGACUGCCGGUGAUAAACCGGAGGAAGGUGGGGAUGACGUCAAGUCAUCAUGGCCCUUACGACUAGGGCUACACACGUGCUACAAUGGCAUAUACAAAGGGAAGCCACCUCGCGAGAGCAAGCUGACCUCAUAAAGUAGGUCGUAGUCCGGAUCGCAGUCUGCAACUCGACUCCGUGAAGUCGGAAUCGUUAGUAAUCGUGAAUCAGAAUGCCGCGGUGAAUACGUUCCCGGGCCUUGUACACACCGCCCGUCACACCAUGGGAGUGGGUUGCAACAGAAGUAGGUAGUUUAACCUUCGGGAGG
Molecule: ribosomal RNA, 369 nt
Filed under: Klebsiella terrigena
Lineage: Bacteria; Pseudomonadati; Pseudomonadota; Gammaproteobacteria; Enterobacterales; Enterobacteriaceae
Description: bacterial SSU rRNA
Rfam family: Bacterial small subunit ribosomal RNA
Source: RNAcentral